RNAcentral lists this ribosomal RNA (339 nucleotides) under Erythromma najas (red-eyed damselfly). Its description in RNAcentral is "partial 12S ribosomal RNA". The record is from RNAcentral. Lineage: Eukaryota; Metazoa; Arthropoda; Insecta; Odonata; Coenagrionidae.
GUAAUAGUUAUGUUCUUGAAACCCAAAGAAUUUGGCGGUAUUUUAGUCUUUUCAGAGGAACCUGUUCUGUAAUCGAUAAUCCACGAUUUUAUUGACUCACGCUUUGUUUUCAGUUUUUAUAUCUCCGUCAUAAGAAUAUUUUUUUAGAAAAAAUUUUCUUAAUUGUCAAACACAAUUAUGUCAGGUCAAGGUGAAGCUAAUAGUUGAGUAGAAAUGGGUUACAAUAAAUUUAUUUAUACGGAUUUUUUAUAUUGUAAUGAUUAUGAAGGUGGAUUUGUAAGUAAAAUUUAACUAAUUAGUUUUUUUGAUUUUAGCUCUAAAAUAUGCACACAUCGCCCG